Molecule: ribosomal RNA, 443 nt
Filed under: uncultured bacterium
Lineage: Bacteria
Description: partial 16S ribosomal RNA
Rfam family: Bacterial small subunit ribosomal RNA
Source: RNAcentral
CCUACGGGAGACAGCAGUGGGGAAUAUUGCACAAUGGGGGGAACCCUGAUGCAGCAAUGCCGCGUGAAGGAUGAAGGUUUUCGGAUUGUAAACUUCUUUUGUACGGGACGAAGAAAGUGACGGUACCGUAAGAAUAAGCCACGGCUAACUACGUGCCAGCAGCCGCGGUAAUACGUAGGUGGCAAGCGUUAUCCGGAUUUACUGGGUGUAAAGGGCGAGUAGGCGGGAUUGCAAGUCAGAUGUGAAAACUAUGGGCUCAACCGAUAGAGUGCAUUUGAAACUGCAGUUCUUGAGUGAUGGAGAGGCAGGCGGAAUUCCUAGUGUAGCGGUGAAAUGCGUAGAUAUUAGGAGGAACACCAGUGGCGAAGGCGGUCUGCUGGACUGCAACUGACACUGAUGCUCGAAAGUGUGGGUAUCAAACAGGAUUAGAUACCCCAGUAGUC